RNAcentral lists this ribosomal RNA (253 nucleotides) under uncultured bacterium. Its description in RNAcentral is "partial 16S ribosomal RNA". It matches the Rfam family "Bacterial small subunit ribosomal RNA", at positions 524 to 776 of the family's 1533-position model. The record is from RNAcentral.
UACGUAGGUGGCAAGCGUUGUCCGGAAUUACUGGGCGUAAAGGAUGCGUAGGCGGAUAUUUAAGUCAGAUGUGAAAUCCCCGGGCUUAACUUGGGGGCUGCAUUUGAAACUGGGUAUCUAGAGUGCAGGAGAGGUAAGUGGAAUUCCUAGUGUAGCGGUGAAAUGCGUAGAGAUUAGGAAGAACACCAGUGGCGAAGGCGACUUACUGGACUGUAACUGACGCUGAGGCAUGAAAGCGUGGGGAGCAAACAGG